UAAUUGCAUUUCUGUUCUCCUCAUAUUUUUGGCUGUUUUGGCAUCAAAGGAGGAACAUUCACUCCAAAUCAUCAGUUGGAACAGUGGGAUGAUGAAAAUGAGCAAGAACAGCCCUCCUACCCUUGUCUAUGUCUUCAGUGCCAACAUGGACCAUGACCACUGGAUCUACCCCGGCCAAAAGCCUGUGCACAAGAUCCAGAAGGCGAGACACUGCAAGGGACCUUCUCUCACAGCACUGCUAGGACAGUAUGUGUCAGGCUCCUAUAAGCAGGACUGAAGUCCCUUAAAGCAAGGAAGAAGCCCUGCAUUAAUGAGAAACAGGGAAGUACCAGGCUACAGUUUGCAAGAAAUAUGUAAAUAUAUCCACAAACACACACACACACACUCAUGGUCUCUUAAUUUCUGGCUGUAUUUCCACAUUCCAUCUCUGAGUGUCCUGCAUAUGAAUGUGGAGUGCUAACAUGUUAUUAUGUAUUUAUUGCUUAUGGUUAUGAACUGGGGGUGACAUGCUGGUGCAGUGGUUAGAGUGGUGGUGAGAUGAAGACUGCUUAGCCAGCUGAAGGGUGCAGAUCAGCUAACAGAGACUGAAAGACAGGCAUAUCAGAAUGAGUUAUCUAGUAGAAAGUCCCAAGAUGCAUUGCUGUGGGCCUUCACUCACCAUGACGACAGCCAGACCUAUGACAGUGAUGAUACCAAAGGGUACCAGCACCAUUGGUGCACCAUACCCACCAGCCACUGGCUCGGGCGGCUUGCUGGAGUUGAAGCCAGUAUCAUUAGCAGCCACUGUCAUGGUCAUGGGGGUCGUUCUGGAGGUGUUGUUGUGCCGCCUGUCCCCAUACACUGUGGAGCCCCGUAGAAGGACAGUGGUGGGGACAGUGUUGGGUGGCGGAGACUUUGUGGUCGUCACUGGCAUCGUUUCUUCACUGGGGUAAAAAUAGGGUCCUUUGGAAAGAGUCACUUCGCAGUGCGGUGCACUACUGCCCACAGAAACAGGCCCUGUUGAAUCAUGGUGAGCUCAGCCUUCCUGUCCCAAGCACCGAGAGCCCUCUCUGAAAGAAAAGGCAAGCUCAUAGACAUAUUUCUCACACUGCAAGCCAUAUCAAAAAUGUUUCAAUCGUUGUAUCACUACUAUGGAAAUUUCCUCGUUUUAGUAACACACAGGUUCCAGAAUGGAAUUUUAGAGAGAGCUCUCCUUAAUAACGCAGCAAGGACAAAUGCCCAGCAGGUCUGCUGUGACCUCAUGGGGUGCUCAUAAUUAAUGCAUCAUGAAUGCGUUUCUGUUACCAACCACAAGUAAAGAGAUCGGUGGAUGGUUACACCACACAAAACCUGCAUCAAGUCAAAACAAUCAGCCAGUCAUACUACAAGAAUGCUGUUGUUACCUGACUCCGUUUUAACUUAGUGACAAAAAGAAACAGGCCUUGACAUCUCAUAAAUAUUUUACAGAGAAACUGUAUAAUGGAUUUGUCUAUAUCCAAAGACAACCUGAGAAUUUGUAUAAUUAUAUCAUUUAUAAGUAAUUAAGCAUCAACUUCAUAGUUCACAAGAAAAAUAUUUUCUCCUUUAAACGAAACCUUUUACAGCUGCUAAAUGGUAUUAAUGUGCAUAAUGUCAUAAAUUAAUGCCUCACAUGUGUUACUAAAGAAACUGAAUUCUUUGAUAACGAUCCACUGUACAUGGAAAUUUGAUAGUGAGUUCUUAAGGGCAGUUUCUAUGUUUAAGAUCAGUUUAAGUUUAAGAAUAUUAUGGGAAUUUGCUUUUUAAAUAGAAGUAGUCUAACAACAGCAUAACAACAAUUAGCCUUGGAGAGACGUAGGUUAUGAGAAAUAGACUUCGUACACAGGGUAUAAUAACAGAAAAUAAACGAGGAAAGUCACUCUUAAGAAAGGCUUAGGACAUGUUUUGCACUGGAGGAGGAGGAAUGAAACCAUAGUAAGGGGAAGUGACAGAGGGAACACCUGCACCCCUUAAAUUUCUCUGAGGACCCCAUGACAUUAAAUGCUGCAGAUAAAGGGGAGGCCUCUAUCUCUGCUGGGGGGAGGGCAGGCCCACCAAGGCGAGAAGAGGCAGAGGAGCAAGGCCAACAGAAAGAUGGUUACUAUGAAACCGCAGGCUUCCUCUCCAAAUCCCCUUGUCCACAAACCUUACGGUUUAUGGGGGGGGGGGGGGGGGGGGUGUGGCAGGAAGUAGGGAGGAGAUGGCGAUGACUGUUUUUGAGAUCUCUGCCCUCACACACAUCAUUUGUUUCUGCAGACAAUGAAGUAGGUAGUUUGUAAACAUUGUAAAGGAGCUCGGCUGUUACCCCAUGAGAAAGACACCGAAUACAUUAUAUUAAUGUCUAGCUGUUAAAACAAACAAAAACACUAUUUUGAGUCAAGUAAACUGUAGGGUUCGAGAUAGAUAAAUAGAUAGAUAGAUAGAUAGAUAGAUAGAUAGAUAGAUAGAUAGAUAGAUAGAUAGAUAGAUAGAUAGAUAGAUAAAACUUUAUUAAUCCCUCGGGUAGAUUCCUCUGGGAAAUUCGGUUUCCAAGAGCACAGCACCGACAGAAGUUACACAACGUGAGCAAAUGUUAUAUAUAUACAUAUAUAGAUACAAAGACAAAUAAAAUAUACAAAAGGGAUAAAUAGAAUAAAUAGGAAUAAGAAGAAUACAAGGGAAUUGCACAUUUCCAGUAUUGAACCAAAAGUAUUGCACAAAAGUAUUGCACAGUGAAGUGAAGAGGCACUACAGCUUAGUUGUCCCCCCCCUCCUUUGUCCUCCUGUUUCCCCUCCCUCUCCCCUCCAGAGAGGAGUUAAAAAGCUUGAUGGCGUAUGGGACAAAGGAGUUUUUAAGUCUGUUGGUUCUUGUCUUUGGGAGAAGAAACCUGUCACUGAACAGACUCCUCUGGUUGUUUAUGUUAGAUAUGUAAGCAUAUCAGAAAUCCAAUGUAAAAGGAAUUAUUAAACUUUAUAUAAUGAAA
This is a long non-coding RNA of Brienomyrus brachyistius, 2960 nucleotides long. RefSeq lists it as uncharacterized. NCBI's taxonomy places the organism in Eukaryota, Metazoa, Chordata, Actinopteri, Osteoglossiformes, Mormyridae. The record is from RefSeq and is a predicted model, not a curated record. The transcript has 2 exons.